GUUUAAUGUCAUAUUAUUGCAUAGGAAAUGGUAGGCAUAUGUACCAUUUAAUAAAAACAGAUUGUGUCAUUACUAUUGCACUAGUUAAACUUUAUGUUAUAUUAUUGCACUAUUGUAUAUACAUUUAAAACAUUAACAAACUAUCUUAACCAUACAUAAUAUUAAAAAAACAUAACAGAUAAAAAAUUGUAUAAACAGCUGGAAUACCUAUAAACUUGUAGCACCAAAACAUAACUUUUGCUAUGAAAACAUUAAGUCAGAAGUUUAUAUAAUAGGGGAUAUG
RNAcentral lists this long non-coding RNA (283 nucleotides) under Mytilus galloprovincialis (Mediterranean mussel). The record is from RNAcentral. Lineage: Eukaryota; Metazoa; Mollusca; Bivalvia; Mytilida; Mytilidae.